AUGGCUCAGAUUGAACGCUAGCGGGAUGCCUUACACAUGCAAGUCGAACGGCAGCACGGACUUCGGUCUGGUGGCGAGUGGCGAACGGGUGAGUAAUGUAUCGGAACGUGCCUAGUAGCGGGGGAUAACUACGCGAAAGCGUAGCUAAUACCGCAUACGCCCUACGGGGGAAAGCAGGGGAUCGCAAGACCUUGCACUAUUAGAGCGGCCGAUAUCGGAUUAGCUAGUUGGUGGGGUAACGGCUCACCAAGGCGACGAUCCGUAGCUGGUUUGAGAGGACGACCAGCCACACUGGGACUGAGACACGGCCCAGACUCCUACGGGAGGCAGCAGUGGGGAAUUUUGGACAAUGGGGGAAACCCUGAUCCAGCCAUCCCGCGUGUGCGAUGAAGGCCUUCGGGUUGUAAAGCACUUUUGGCAGGAAAGAAACGUCAUGGGUUAAUACCCCGUGAAACUGACGGUACCUGCAGAAUAAGCACCGGCUAACUACGUGCCAGCAGCCGCGGUAAUACGUAGGGUGCAAGCGUUAAUCGGAAUUACUGGGCGUAAAGCGUGCGCAGGCGGUUCGGAAAGAAAGAUGUGAAAUCCCAGAGCUUAACUUUGGAACUGCAUUUUUAACUACCGAGCUAGAGUGUGUCAGAGGGAGGUGGAAUUCCGCGUGUAGCAGUGAAAUGCGUAGAUAUGCGGAGGAACCACCGAUGGCGAAGGCAGCCUCCUGGGAUAAC
RNAcentral lists this ribosomal RNA (725 nucleotides) under Achromobacter sp. 110609_136_C_D4. Its description in RNAcentral is "bacterial SSU rRNA". It matches the Rfam family "Bacterial small subunit ribosomal RNA", at positions 19 to 738 of the family's 1533-position model. The record is from RNAcentral. Lineage: Bacteria; Pseudomonadati; Pseudomonadota; Betaproteobacteria; Burkholderiales; Alcaligenaceae.